GGGGCCGUCGUCUAGCUUGGUAGGAUGCCAGCCUGGGAAUCGGGAGUAUCCCAGUAAGAUCCCGGGUUCAAAUCCCGGCGGCCCCACCA
RNAcentral lists this transfer RNA (89 nucleotides) under Thermoprotei archaeon. RNAcentral's name for it is "tRNA-Pro". It matches the Rfam family "tRNA". Rfam says of the family: Transfer RNA (tRNA) molecules are approximately 80 nucleotides in length. Their secondary structure includes four short double-helical elements and three loops (D, anti-codon, and T loops). The record is from RNAcentral. Lineage: Archaea; Thermoproteati; Thermoproteota; Thermoprotei.